Molecule: ribosomal RNA, 469 nt
Filed under: uncultured Gram-positive bacterium
Lineage: Bacteria
Description: bacterial SSU rRNA
Rfam family: Bacterial small subunit ribosomal RNA
Source: RNAcentral
CUGGCUCACGACGAACGCUGGCGGCGUGCCUAAUACAUGCAAGUCGAGCGAAUCUACGGGAGCUUGCUCCCAAAGGUUAGCGGCGGACGGGUGAGUAACACGUGGGCAACCUGCCUGUAAGACUGGGAUAACUUCGGGAAACCGGAGCUAAUACCGGAUAAUUCUUACCAACACAUGUUGGUAAGCUAAAAGACGGCGCAAGCUGUCACUUGCAGAUGGGCCCGCGGCGCAUUAGCUAGUUGCUAACGUAAUGGCUUACCAAGGCAACGAUGCGUAGCCGACCUGAGAGGGUGAUCGGCCACACUGGGACUGAGACACGGCCCAGACUCCUACGGGAGGCAGCAGUAGGGAAUCUUCCGCAAUGGACGAAAGUCUGACGGAGCAACGCCGCGUGAGUGAUGAAGGUUUUCGGAUCGUAAAACUCUGUUGUUAGGGAAGAACAAGUACGAGAGUAACUGCUCGUACCUUG